This 1237-nucleotide long non-coding RNA is filed under the name Monodelphis domestica (gray short-tailed opossum). RNAcentral's name for it is "lncRNA (ENSMODG00000048785.1)". The record is from RNAcentral. Lineage: Eukaryota; Metazoa; Chordata; Mammalia; Didelphimorphia; Didelphidae.
GGGAGUCUCCGGUAGAAACGGAGCCCGGGCUCCUCCGGCGCGAGCAGCUAGCUGCCCAGCGGCGAUGCAAAGCUGCCAUAAGCACCCCCCCCGCACGGCUGCGGCGCGGAAGGGGUUAAGCCCUCUCGGCCAGACCCCUCCAGGCCCGGUUGGAGCUCUAGGACCUCCGCACCGCUCAGCUGAAGUGGCCACAAGCAGCUCCUCUGCCGGCGCUUCCGUGCGCCUCAAGGAGCGUCACGGCACGUUACGGCACGGCACGGCGCGAUAGCUCCGCCCCGGAGCCUCUGACCCUGAGGGGGAGGGGAAGAAAAGCUGCGCUGCGCCUGCGCUCACCUGAGUGCACGCGCUUCCGGCUUUACUCGCCAAGCGGAGUCCCUGACCUUUGAGCGCAUGCUCAAGAAACUCCGCAGUAAUUUCCCAGGGCUGCGCUAUUUUCAUUGGCUGCAGAAGUGUGAGAAGGUGGGGGAGUUUGGAUGCUAAUGAUGGCUGAGACUUCGUGCAGUCUGCAGUACACUUGUGUCUCUUCUGGUACGGAGUUCAGCCAGGAAGAAGAUUUUCCAGGGCAAAGUAAAGAACACUCGACUUUCCUCUUUUGCCCUGUUUUAUUUCUGGAGGCUAGACAAGCUGGAGUGCUCAAGUUGGUGGAACUUGGGAAUUUUGAUACUCAGCACUCCCCUCCAGUGGCAGAACACCAGGAGAACACUGGACAUUAUUAUAUGAAUAGCAACUCUUAAAUCCCCGUGACUUGGAUCAAGGCAACUAGAUGGUGUAGUGGCAACAACCAAACAGAAGAGCGAGUCCCAAAGGCCUGGGGGAUUGAUUGAGGUAUGUAUCUGUAGAAGAGAGGAAUUGGGAAGCAUACAAAAGGCAUGACGAUCUGUCAAUUGAACAAAGGUUCCAUUUGGAAGGUUACUGGGAAAAGCAGUUGAAAGAAGGAACUGACCACCUGAAGGAUUAUGUCUUUUAACCUUGAAAGACAGAAAGGAGUGAUCUUGGAGAUUGAAGAAGGAAGGACAAUAGUCCAGAGACAUACAUCUCUUUGACUUGCUCUGUUUAUGAUAGUGACUGAACUGCCAGACCUAUCAAUCAUUCCUCUCAAUUUGAACUCUAUCCCAAAAUUCUCCAAUCUAAAGCUUACUGUAGAGUUAAGGAAAUGCCCAACCCUCUUACCUUCAUUCUCUAUUUUUUCCUGUCUUAUCCAAAUAAACCCUUUGCUUAAGAUAAAAAAAAGAAAAAG